AGUGAACGCUGGCGGUAGGCCUAACACAUGCAAGUCGAACGGCAGCACAGGAGAGCUUGCUCUCUGGGUGGCGAGUGGCGGACGGGUGAGGAAUACAUCGGAAUCUACUCUGUCGUGGGGGAUAACGUAGGGAAACUUACGCUAAUACCGCAUACGACCUACGGGUGAAAGCAGGGGAUCUUCGGACCUUUCGCGAUUGAAUGAGCCGAUGUCGGAUUAGCUAGUUGGAGGGGUAAAGGCCCACCAAGGCGACGGUCCGUAGCUGGUCUGAGAGGAUGAUCAGCCACACUGGAACUGAGACACGGUCCAGACUCCUACGGGAGGCAGCAGUGGGGAAUAUUGGACAAUGGGCGCAAGCCUGAUCCAGCCAUACCGCGUGGGUGAAGAAGGCCUUCGGGUUGUAAAGCCCUUUUGUUGGGAAAGAAAUCCAGCUGGCUAAUACCCGGUUGGGAUGACGGUACCCAAAGAAUAAGCACCGGCUAACUUCGUGCCAGCCGCCGCGGUAA
Molecule: ribosomal RNA, 506 nt
Filed under: uncultured bacterium
Lineage: Bacteria
Description: partial 16S ribosomal RNA
Rfam family: Bacterial small subunit ribosomal RNA
Source: RNAcentral